UCCGGAGGGUGCAAUCGUUGUUCGGAAUCAUUGGGUGUAAAGCGCGUGUAGGCGGCUUGGCAAGUCGGGUGUGAAAUCCCGGGGCCCAACCCCGGAACUGCAUUCGAAACUGCCUCGCUAGAGUCCCGGAGAGGAAGGCGGAAUUCCCGGUGUAGAGGUGAAAUUCGUAGAUAUCGGGAGGAACACCAGCGGCGAAGGCGGCCUUCUGGACGGUGACUGACGCUCAGACGCGAAAGCGUGGGGAGAAAACAGG
This 253-nucleotide ribosomal RNA is filed under the name uncultured bacterium. RNAcentral describes it as "partial 16S ribosomal RNA". It matches the Rfam family "Bacterial small subunit ribosomal RNA", at positions 524 to 776 of the family's 1533-position model. The record is from RNAcentral.